Molecule: transfer RNA, 72 nt
Filed under: Streptomyces aidingensis
Lineage: Bacteria; Bacillati; Actinomycetota; Actinomycetes; Kitasatosporales; Streptomycetaceae
Description: Streptomyces sp. TRM46012 tRNA
Rfam family: tRNA
About the family: Transfer RNA (tRNA) molecules are approximately 80 nucleotides in length. Their secondary structure includes four short double-helical elements and three loops (D, anti-codon, and T loops).
Source: Rfam by way of RNAcentral
GGGCGCAUAGCUCAGUGGCAGAGCGCUUGCCUUACAAGCAAGAUGUCACAGGUUCGAACCCUGUUGCGCCCA